UUAAGGUAUGAAGGGCAUGCGGUGGAUGCCUUGGCACUGGCGACCGAUGAAGGGCGUAGCAAGCUGCGAUAAGCCGCGGGGAGGAGCAAGCAUCCUGCGAUCCGCGGAUCCCCGAAUGGGGCAACCUGCUUGAGCGAACCUCAAGCAUCCGGAUCAUCCGGAGGGAUACCCGGCGAAGUGAAACAUCUCAGUAACCGGAGGAAAAGAAAUCGAAAGAGAUUCCCCCAGUAGUGGUGAGCGAAAGGGGAAGAGCCUAAACGCGAAUCUCGCGCGCUAAGGCCUGCGGGCCGAUGUGCGAAGUCGCGGGUUGUGGGAGCGCGCACUGGUCCGUCCGCAGACGGACCGGGAAGUCACAAAGGAAAAGCUUAGCCGAACUGUGUUGGAACAGCAGGCCACAGAGGGUGAAAGCCCCGUAGGCGAAAAGCUUUUCCCUUCCCCGGCGCGCCUCCCGAGUAGGGCGGGGCACGUGGAAUCCUGUCUGAAGCUGGGCCGACCACGGUCCAAGGCUAAAUAUCGCCAGUGACCGAUAGCGAAGCAGUACCGAGAGGGAAAGGUGAAAAGCACCCCUGGCGGGGAGUGAAAUAGACCUGAAACCGCAUGCCUACGAGCAGUCGAAGCAUCGCUCUUUUUCCGCAAGGAAAAAGAGGGUGUGACGGCGUGCCUCUUGGAAAAUGAGCCGGCGAGUUGCAUUGCGUGGCGAGGUUAAGGGCGGGCUACGUCCGAAGCCGCAGGGAAACCGAGUCUAAACAGGGCGUUUAGUCGCGCGAUGCAGACCCGAAGCCGUACGAUCUACCCAUGGCCAGGAUGAAGUCCGGGUAAUGCCGGAUGGAGGUCCGAACCAGUUGGUGUUGCAAAACCUUUGGAUGAGCUGUGGGUAGGAGUGAAAAGCUAAUCGAGUACGGUGAUAGCUGGUUCUCCCCGAAACGCAUUUAGGUGCGGCCUCGAGGUAAGAAAGUGGCGGAGGUAGAGCUCUGGAUGGAUGAGGGGGGUUGUGGCCCUACCGAUUUCAACCAAACUGCGAAUGCCGCUACUGGAUCCUCGGGAGCAAGACCGUGUGGGAGAAGCUUCACGGUCGAGAGGGAAACAGCCCAGAUCGCCAGCUAAGGCCCCUAAUUCGGACUAAGUGUAGUAAGGAUGUGGGAAAGCCCAGACAGCCAGGAGGUUGGCUCAGAAGCAGCCAUCCUUUAAAGAGUGCGUAACAGCUCACUGGUCGAGCGCUCCUGCGCCGAAAAUGUAGGGGGCUCAAGUCCGAAGCCGAAGCUGCGGGCUUUUUCUUUUAAAAGAAGAAGCGGUAGGGGAGCGUUCUGCGCGGAUAGAAGUCGUGCCGUGAGGCGCGGUGGACUGCGCGGAAGUGAGAAUGCCGGCAUGAGUAGCGAAAAGGCGCGUGAGAUUCGCGCCCGCCGGAAGCCUAAGGUUUCCUGGGGAAGGCAUUCCUCCCAGGGUUAGGCGGGACCUAAGGCGUAGCCGAAAGGCGAAGUCCGAUGGACAGCCGGUAGACAUUCCGGCCCCACCCUGAUGACGUCAUUACCGAUGGGGUGACGCAGGGGGCUAGGCGCGCUGGGCGAUGGAAGUCCCAGUCCAAAGGCGUAGAGGGAAGGUCCAGGCAAAUCCAGACCUUCAUAACCUCAAGGCCCUAUGGGGAGCCCCUACGGGGGCGAAGGCGCUGACGCCGCACUGUUAAAAAAAGCCUCUAGGGAGGAGUCAGGGUGCCCGUACUGCAAACCGACACUGGUAGGCUGGCUUAAAAAGCUAAGGCGCACGGGAUAACCCUCGCUAAGGAACUUUGCAAGUUGACCCCGUAACUUAGGGAGAAGGGGUGCCCCCAUCAGGUGAAAAAGGCUUGCCCUUAUUAGCCGAAGGGGGUCGCAGAGUCAAGGCCCAGGCGACUGUUUAAUAAAAACACAGGUCUCUGCUCAAGGCCAAAAGCCUAUGUAUAGGGACUGACGCCUGCCCGGUGCUGGAAGGUUAAGGGGACCCGUCAGCGCAACUUAUGUUGCGCGAAGCGGGAAACCGAAGCCCCAGUAAACGGCGGCCGUAACUAUAACGGUCCUAAGGUAGCGAAAUUCCUUGUCGGGUAAGUUCCGA
This 2085-nucleotide ribosomal RNA is filed under the name activated sludge metagenome. RNAcentral's name for it is "bacterial LSU rRNA". It matches the Rfam family "Bacterial large subunit ribosomal RNA", at positions 3 to 1986 of the family's 2925-position model. The record is from RNAcentral.